Molecule: ribosomal RNA, 444 nt
Filed under: uncultured Prevotella sp.
Lineage: Bacteria; Pseudomonadati; Bacteroidota; Bacteroidia; Bacteroidales; Prevotellaceae
Description: bacterial SSU rRNA
Rfam family: Bacterial small subunit ribosomal RNA
Source: RNAcentral
UGAGGGAAUAUUGGGUCAAUGGACGGAAGUCUGAACCAGCCAAGUAGCGUGCAGGAUGACGGCCCUCCGGGUUGUAAACUGCUUUUAGUUGGGAAUAAAGUGCGGGACGCGUCCCGUUUUGUAUGUACCAUCAGAAUAAGGACCGGCUAAUUCCGUGCCAGCAGCCGCGGUAAUACGGAAGGUCCGGGCGUUAUCCGGAUUUAUUGGGUUUAAAGGGAGCGUAGGCCGGAGAUUAAGCGUGUUGUGAAAUGUAGUGGCUCAACCUCUGUACUGCAGCGCGAACUGGUCUUCUUGAGUACGCACAACGUGGGCGGAAUUCGUGGUGUAGCGGUGAAAUGCUUAGAUAUCACGAAGAACUCCGAUUGCGAAGGCAGCCUGCUGUAGCGUAACUGACGCUGAAGCUCGAAAGCGUGGGUAUCGAACAGGAUUAGAUACCCUGGUAGU